GAGUUUGUUCAUGGCUCAGGACGAACGCUGGCGGCGUGCCUAACACAUGCAAGUCGAGCGAGGAGAUUCCCUUCGGGGAUGAACCUAGCGGCGGACGGGUGAGUAACACGUGGGCAACCUGCCUUAUAGAGGGGAAUAGCCUUCCGAAAGGAAGAUUAAUACCGCAUAACAUUACAUUUUCGCAUGAAGAAGUAAUUAAAGGAGUAAUCCGCUAUAAGAUGGGCCCGCGGCGCAUUAGCUAGUUGGUGAGGUAACGGCUCACCAAGGCGACGAUGCGUAGCCGACCUGAGAGGGUGAUCGGCCACAUUGGGACUGAGACACGGCCCAGACUCCUACGGGAGGCAGCAGAGGGGAAUAUUGCACAAUGGGGGAAACCCUGAUGCAGCAACGCCGCGUGAGUGAUGAAGGUCUUCGGAUCGUAAAGCUCUGUCUUCAGGGACGAUAAUGACGGUACCUGAGGAGGAAGCCACGGCUAACUACGUGCCAGCAGCCGCGGUAAUAC
This 502-nucleotide ribosomal RNA is filed under the name uncultured bacterium. RNAcentral describes it as "bacterial SSU rRNA". It matches the Rfam family "Bacterial small subunit ribosomal RNA", at positions 9 to 526 of the family's 1533-position model. The record is from RNAcentral.